This 1619-nucleotide long non-coding RNA is filed under the name Salmo salar (Atlantic salmon). RNAcentral describes it as "lncRNA (ENSSSAG00000111911.1)". The record is from RNAcentral. Lineage: Eukaryota; Metazoa; Chordata; Actinopteri; Salmoniformes; Salmonidae.
UGUAUAUAUAUGUGUGUAUAUAUAUAUAAUUUUACAGUGUACAGCAGAUGAAUCAUAAUAACCCUUGGCUUGUAAACAAUGUUAACUUGGGGCUUGAUAUUGAUACACAUCUGUUCUUAGCCCUGCAGGAUUCAGUCAAGAGUCCCGUUUAUACCUGGUGCUAACACACGUCCUAAUAUUGUCCACAUUUUUAGACGAUUAAAAGAACCGAUUGUGAUCAGAUUUUCCGGACUGUUUCCAGAGGUAGUCGGGGACGAAUUGAUUGGUUGGAUGAAAGCUCGAUGGACAGGUCAAAGGAUGGAGUGUACAGGUGAGAGUAAAAUAAAGAAUAGCCGCCUUGAGGGAAGUUGGGUUGCGACACACAAGGUUGCCAGUUCGAAUGCCAAUGUAGCUUUUGUUUUCCAACCUUACUAAUCACAAUUCUACCUGACUGAACAGCUUUAUAUAGGUAAAACAUGUGUUGUGCCCUCCCAAUUGCUUGCGCAGUAAACUAGGUACUGGGAUAGGGACCAGAACGUCACAGGUUCUAAACUUGCCAAUGCCCUUUCUCAACAAAGGUAUAUGUAUAGCCCUGGUUACACCUUGCAUUAACAUGUGGUUUUCGUGAUCAAACACAUGGAUCACACAAGCGGGUUGACUAAUAACCCGCAAUCUGCUGUUAUAUCCAGGUUUAGGGUCAUGAAAUAGUGUGGAUGAAUGGGGGAGUGGGUUGCAUGUAGGUUGAAUAAAGAAAAAACGUUAUUUUUAUCUGGCAUUAGUGUGUAGGCCAACGCUUUAGGGCCUAACUGUAUGCGCGCGUCAAUUGUUUUGGGGAAAAAGUUAACAUCAAUCCACUAAGGCAGAAAGGGAACUGUAAAGCGCGUUCUCUAUAUUUGCGGGUUAGUCGGCUCUGGGCCUCAGAUUGACAUAUAGUCAGGCGGUUGUGGAUGGGUUAUUAGCAAUUGCUGGUGGGUGCUAAUGAACAAACAGCUGACCCGCGCAUCACUAGUCUACACAUUUGCAGCAUCUACACACGUCUGAACAGCCAAAAAGCACAUGGAAUCUGAUGUUUCAAACCACCUUCGUAAGUCAUUUGAAAUAAGAUACAAAUCUGACUUAUUUGCCCUCAAGUGGUUUUUGGAUUUAUUGGGCAUAUCGUGUUGCUUGCUCACUACAGUGUUGACAGUUUAACAAGAAUAUGUGGCAGCUAACGAGCUUGUUAAUUGUUUACAAACAAAUGUGAAUGUGCUAGAAAGCUAAAUGGCUACCUAGCUAGCUAGCGUCUGUUCUUACACUAUAAUUUUGAACAUUCAAAGCAACUGGGAAAUGUCCAUGGCAGGCAUUGUUGUCAGUUUAGCUUGCUACAGUACAUACCUUUGAGUGAUAGGAAGCAAGAGCAAGACCACCAAUCAGCCUGCACCACUGCGCAUACACUCAUUGUUACUAUGACAACUAGUGCAGGCAUGUUAGCAAACGACUGCUGUCUGACCACAUUCGAUUUGGUCACUUGGACAGUCAGUGUUCCAAAAUGCAUUUGAAAAAUAAAACUGAUUUCAGCAUUAAGGGCUGCAGUGUGAACAAAUCUUUCUAUCUGCUGUGUCUGCAUUUUUACCAGAUGACCUGGUCCCUCCCUGUAUGCA